Molecule: ribosomal RNA, 225 nt
Filed under: Clostridioides difficile
Lineage: Bacteria; Bacillati; Bacillota; Clostridia; Peptostreptococcales; Peptostreptococcaceae
Description: partial 23S ribosomal RNA
Rfam family: Bacterial large subunit ribosomal RNA
Source: RNAcentral
AGGAGGGAGGCGGCUUGUACACAAUGACGCCAGUAUUGGCGCAGGCCUCUAUAGGAUACCACCCUUGUAGUACUGGGACUCUAACCAUAGGCCAUGAAUCUGGUCUUGGGACACUGGCAGGUGGGCAGUUUGACUGGGGCGGUCGCCUCCCAAAAGGUAACGGGGGCGCUCAAAGGUUCUCUCAGUACGGUCGGAAAUCGUACGUAGAGUGUAAAGGCAAAAGAG